This 99-nucleotide ribosomal RNA is filed under the name Chrysemys picta bellii (western painted turtle). Lineage: Eukaryota; Metazoa; Chordata; Testudines; Emydidae. The record is from RNAcentral.
GUCUCUAGCCCUAGCAGGCCAAAUGCACUUGAGAAGCAGGGCUGGGCCUGGUUAGCACUUGAAUAGGAGACUUCCCAGCAAUACCGGGAGCUGUAGGCU